ACGAACGCUGGCGGCAGGCCUAACACAUGCAAGUCGAGCGCGCCCUUCGGGGCGAGCGGCGGACGGGUGAGUAACGCGUGGGAACUCGCCCCUCGGUACGGAAUAACCUCGGGAAACUGGGGCUAAUACCGUAUACGUCCUAUGGGAGAAAGAUUUAUCGCCGAGGGUGAGGCCCGCGUCCGAUUAGGUAGUUGGCGGGGUAACGGCCCACCAAGCCGACGAUCGGUAGCUGGUCUGAGAGGACGAUCAGCCACACUGGGACUGAGACACGGCCCAGACUCCUACGGGAGGCAGCAGUGGGGAAUCUUGGACAAUGGGCGAAAGCCUGAUCCAGCCAUGCCGCGUGGGUGAUGAAGGCCUUAGGGUUGUAAAGCCCUUUCGGCGGGGACGAUUGUGACGGUACCCGCAGAAGAAGCCCCGGCUAACUCCGU
RNAcentral lists this ribosomal RNA (431 nucleotides) under uncultured bacterium. RNAcentral's name for it is "bacterial SSU rRNA". It matches the Rfam family "Bacterial small subunit ribosomal RNA", at positions 29 to 506 of the family's 1533-position model. The record is from RNAcentral.